AGAACCACCACUUUUCCUUCUGGGACCUGCACAGAGAAAGGGAGGGAGAGAUGCAUCUUGAAGUGUAACUGACAUCAUGUAUCUGUCUGAUUCUCCCUAUUUUCACAUCCUUCACUUCUCACCAGUAUCAUCUCGCCAGGCUUAUGGAGUUGAUUAUAGACCAUCACCACCCUGUUCUCUUAUUUUCUGCUACAAUCAGCAGCUCCCUGUCACCAGCCAAGCUUGAAUUGCUUCUUUGAAGACCCUACUCCCUCCCAGAGUUGGAAAAAGGAAGUUGAAAUGUGAGAGGUUGCUGGUUCUGGGGUAAGAACUUACAGAAACGCAUUCGGAUUUAGCCAAGUAGUUAUGCCUUACGGUGAUGGGUGCUCACGGACAGCUUUGUUCCAUGAGCACAUGGAGCCAAGUGCUACUUUACUAACACCAGUCCUGCAGCACUCAGUCCUACCCCUGGGUUUUCUGCUCCCCCAUGCAGCCCCGAAUGGGAACUAGGACGUGGGACUGACCCACACUGAAGAGGGAGAGGGUGGUGUCAAACCAACCAAACUCUGAUUUGCUAGCCAAUUAUUCGCUCAAGUCUUGGGUUUUCUGUUUCGUGGUAUAAGUAAUUCUAUGCAGUGCCGUAUGCUUCCUUUGCCUUUCUCUACCACUGACUAUGUUAUACUAUACUACAUUACAUUAUCUGAUUAUAUUUCAUUAUAGUUUUUCAUCUCUCUAGCUACUAUUAGUUCAGUCUACUUAAUCUUGGUCAAGACUGUUCCCC
Long non-coding RNA from Cuculus canorus (common cuckoo), 760 nucleotides. RefSeq lists it as uncharacterized. NCBI's taxonomy places the organism in Eukaryota, Metazoa, Chordata, Aves, Cuculiformes, Cuculidae. The transcript has 3 exons. The record is from RefSeq and is a predicted model, not a curated record.